This 273-nucleotide ribosomal RNA is filed under the name uncultured bacterium. RNAcentral describes it as "partial 16S ribosomal RNA". It matches the Rfam family "Bacterial small subunit ribosomal RNA", at positions 524 to 796 of the family's 1533-position model. The record is from RNAcentral.
UACGGAGGGAGCUAGCGUUGUUCGGAAUUACUGGGCGUAAAGCGCACGUAGGCGGCUACUCAAGUCGGGGGUGAAAGCCCGGGGCUCAACCCCGGAACUGCCCUCGAAACUAGGUAGCUAGAAUCUUGGAGAGGUCAGUGGAAUUCCGAGUGUAGAGGUGAAAUUCGUAGAUAUUCGGAAGAACACCAGUGGCGAAGGCGACUGACUGGACAAGUAUUGACGCUGAGGUGCGAAAGCGUGGGGAGCAAACAGGAUUAGAAACCCGCGUAGUCC